Molecule: signal recognition particle RNA, 300 nt
Filed under: Cebus imitator (Panamanian white-faced capuchin)
Lineage: Eukaryota; Metazoa; Chordata; Mammalia; Primates; Cebidae
Description: Metazoan signal recognition particle RNA (ENSCCAG00000014148.1)
Rfam family: Metazoan signal recognition particle RNA
About the family: The signal recognition particle (SRP) is a universally conserved ribonucleoprotein. It is involved in the co-translational targeting of proteins to membranes.
Source: RNAcentral
GCCGGGCACGGUGGCAUGUGCCUGUAGUCCCAGUUACUUGGGAGGCUGAGGUGGGAGGAUCACUUGAGCCCAGGAGUUCUGGGCUGUAGUGUGUUAUGACGAUCAGGUGUCCGCGCUAAGUUUGGCAUCAAUAUGGUGACCUCCCAGGAGUGGGAGACCACCAGGUUGCCUAAGGAGGGGUAAACUGGCCCAGGUCGGAAAACGGAGCAGGUCAAAACUCCCGUGCUGAUCAGUAGUGGGAUCGCGCCUGUGAAUGGUCACUGCACUCCAGCCUGGGCAUCAUAGCGAGACCCCAUCUCU